AACGCACCUUGCGCUCCUUGGUAUUCCGAGGAGCAUGCCUGUUUGAGUGUCAUUAAAUUCUCAACCUUACCAGCUUUUGUUGGUAAUGGCUUGGAUGUGGGGGUCUUUUGCUGGCUUCGUAAAGAGGUCUGCUCCCCUUAAAUGCAUUAGCCGGUGCCCUGCGUGGAUCCGUCUAUUGGUGUGAUAAUUAUCUACGCCGUGGACGUCUGCUUUAAAUGGGACGCACUGCUUCUAACCGUCCGUUCAGUUGGACAAUCAAUGACAAUUUGACCUCAAAUCAGGUAGGACUACCCGCUGAACUUAA
This 304-nucleotide unclassified non-coding RNA is filed under the name Dothideomycetes sp. RNAcentral describes it as "partial contains 5.8S ribosomal RNA, internal transcribed spacer 2, and large subunit ribosomal RNA". The stretch from base 1 to 52 matches the Rfam family "5.8S ribosomal RNA", at positions 103 to 154 of the family's 154-position model. RNAcentral also lists the same sequence under 2 other names. The record is from RNAcentral. Lineage: Eukaryota; Fungi; Ascomycota; Dothideomycetes.